RNAcentral lists this ribosomal RNA (561 nucleotides) under Cortinarius flexipes. RNAcentral describes it as "eukaryotic LSU rRNA". It matches the Rfam family "Eukaryotic large subunit ribosomal RNA", at positions 1 to 558 of the family's 3401-position model. Lineage: Eukaryota; Fungi; Basidiomycota; Agaricomycetes; Agaricales; Cortinariaceae. The record is from RNAcentral.
UGUGACCUCAAAUCAGGUAGGACUACCCGCUGAACUUAAGCAUAUCAAUAAGCGGAGGAAAAGAAACUAACAAGGAUUCCCCUAGUAACUGCGAGUGAAGCGGGAAAAGCUCAAAUUUAAAAUCUGGCGGUCUUUUGGCUGUCCGAGUUGUAAUCUAGAGAAGUGUUAUCCGCGCUGGACCGUGUACAAGUCUCCUGGAAUGGAGCAUCAUAGAGGGUGAGAAUCCCGUCUUUGACAUGGACUGCCAGGGCUUUGUGAUGCGCUCUCAAAGAGUCGAGUUGUUUGGGAAUGCAGCUCAAAAUGGGUGGUAAAUUCCAUCUAAAGCUAAAUAUUGGCGAGAGACCGAUAGCGAACAAGUACCGUGAGGGAAAGAUGAAAAGAACUUUGGAAAGAGAGUUAAACAGUACGUGAAAUUGCUGAAAGGGAAACGCUUGAAGUCAGUCGCGUCAUCCAGGGAUCAACCUUGCUUUUGCUUGGCGCACUUCCUGGUUUGAUGGGUCAGCAUCAAUUUUGACCGUUGGAAAAAGGCUGAGGGAAUGUGGCAUCUUUGGAUGUGUUAUA